This 455-nucleotide long non-coding RNA is filed under the name Spirodela polyrhiza (greater duckweed). RNAcentral's name for it is "long non-coding RNA (SPOL_LNC001499)". The record is from RNAcentral. Lineage: Eukaryota; Viridiplantae; Streptophyta; Magnoliopsida; Alismatales; Araceae.
GGACGCUGAGGAAGGACUCCGUCUCGUAGAUCUGGUGGCCGGCGACGGCGACGGCGCCGCCGCCUGCGCCGGAGUCGAGGAUGUCGCACAGAUCCAGGUUCCACGCCGCGGGCGGCGGCGGGGAGGGCUCGCCGGAAAGGGGGAGGUUGAUGUCCGGGGGCCGCCGCUGCGGGAGCAUCAUUUCCCGGUCGCCGUCGUCGAGGCCGAGAAGGGUGAAGGGCUGGUGGCUGUUCUCCAUGGAGAGCGUGGUGAGGAGGGGCUCUGCCAUCUCUCUCUUCCCUCUCCCCCUUCUUCCUCUACCUCCGCCUGCUCCGCGCUGCUAUCUCCUGCAACUCCCACCGCAGUCGACGGCGACAUCCCAGAGGAUGCACUCACAGGACCAUUCCAUGGAACCAAGAGGCAUCGAGGAGCCCGCCCCACCCCCUCCCACCCCCCCCCACCCUCCCCCGGAGGAG